Molecule: ribosomal RNA, 428 nt
Filed under: uncultured bacterium
Lineage: Bacteria
Description: SSU rRNA
Rfam family: Bacterial small subunit ribosomal RNA
Source: RNAcentral
CAAUGGGGGGAAACCCUGAAUGCAGCGACGCCGCGUGAGCGAAGAAGUAUUUCGGUAUGUAAAGCUCUAUCAGCAGGGNAAGAAGAAAUGACGGUACCUGACUAAGAAGCACCGNNCUAAAUACGUGCCAGCAGCCGCGGUAAUACGUAUGGUGCAAGCGUUAUCCGGAUUUACUGGGUGUAAAGGGAGCGCAGGCGGUACGGCAAGUCUGAUGUGAAAGCCCGGGGCUCAACCCCGGUACUGCAUUGGAAACUGUCGGACUAGAGUGUCGGAGGGGUAAGUGGAAUUCCUAGUGUAGCGGUGAAAUGCGUAGAUAUUAGGAGGAACACCAGUGGCGAAGGCGGCUUACUGGACGAUUACUGACGCUGAGGCUCGAAAGCGUGGGGAGCAAACAGGAUUAGAUACCCUGGUAGUCCAAGGGCGAAUUC